UUUAAAUGAAGACUAGAACAAAAGAUUUAACUCUUAUAUUUCCUUAUUUUUUAUAAUUAUUUAAUUUUUCUUAAAUGUAAAAAGACAUUUAUUCUAAAGAAAGACGACAAGACCCUUUUGAACUUAACUUUAGUUUAACUGGGGCAGUUAAUUAAUUAAUAUUUUAAUAUUAUUAUUUUAUAAUAUAUCCUAUAAAUUAGAAUAAUUCAGUUACCAUAGGGAUAACAGCGCAAUUAUAUUUUUAAGCUCUUAUAUAAAAUAUAGUUUACGACCUCGAUGUUGAAUUAAUAACCUUCAUUUAAAGCAAAUUUUAAGUAAGGAAGUCUGUUCGACUUUUAAAUAAUUACAUGAUUUGAGUUCAGACCGGUGUAAGCCAGGUCGGUUUCUAUCUUCUUAAAUUUAUUUUACAGUACGAAAGGACCUAAAAUAUAAUAUAAUAAUAUAUUGGCAGAACAAUGCAUUAGAAUUAGAAUCUAAUUAAACU
Molecule: ribosomal RNA, 484 nt
Filed under: Cobanus cf. electus JXZ-2013
Lineage: Eukaryota; Metazoa; Arthropoda; Arachnida; Araneae; Salticidae
Description: partial 16S ribosomal RNA
Rfam family: Bacterial large subunit ribosomal RNA (bases 98-394)
Source: RNAcentral